Non-coding RNA from Xylariaceae sp. AK1471, 86 nucleotides. The record is from the annotation of a GenBank genome assembly. Lineage: Eukaryota; Fungi; Ascomycota; Sordariomycetes; Xylariales; Xylariaceae.
ACCAUCAUCGUCUAGUGGUUUAGGAUACCAGAUUUCCUUACGUACAGAAAGCUCUGGGGACCGGAGUUUGAACCUUCGUGAUGGUG